CUAGCACAGCCGCGAGGUGAGCUGCUGCUCCAUCUAAUCCGCGCCGUGGGCACUAAUUAGUUUUUUUCCCACUGCCGUCUUGGUCCAGUUGCUGUACAUCUGGUUCGUAUAGUAUUUUUUUCCCUAUCUGCUAUUUAUCUUUUAUGCGUGAUUUUUUUAAUUGCAAAAAAAGAUGCAUAUUUGAUAAUGUUCAUAAUUACUUAACCAUGCACCAGAUUUAAAAACUUCAUUAUAAAUGUUGUAACUUGAUCUAUAUAUGUAUACUCGGUAGAAUGAUGUGUAUAAUCACAUGAACCGCUUUAUUUUGUUGUUUAAUAAGUAUAAAACAUGUUUAGUUCAGAUCUGAACCAAUUUCAAAAUUAACAUAUGGGGUCAUUUUAGAAUGUUGUAAGUUGUUUCUGACCUCAUUUAAAAUGCCUAUAUAGUUUAGUUUAUUUAUGCUUCACCUCUUGCCAUGUUUAACAACAUAUAAUAUUAUCGUGUACCUAACUGGAGUGAACUAAGUUGUUCAAACAUGGAGUUUCGUUAAUAUGCAACGAGUUGCAUAUUGACCUUCAUUUAAUGUGUAGUAAUAAAUUGUUGUGUUUGCCAUGCCUUGCAUAAUUUAAAUGGACAUAUAUAAUAUUUGAUUGUGCAUCUUUUCAUGAAUAUGUGUGGUGUUAUUGUGUGUUGAUUGUUGUUCCGGAUUAUUUCUUCUCGAUAUAGUUUCGAACCACUUCGGAGUGUGAGGAUCCGUUCGACUAUGUCGGUUCGUCUGCUUCACGGAUUUGUUCUUCUUCCAAGCAGGAAAACAGGAAGAUGAUCAUUUCUUUAGAUAUCAUUACUAUCAUUGCCACGCCAGUUGUCUCGUUUCUUUCGCUAUGUCUCGCUGCCUAUCACCUUUUUAAAUAAGCCUCCCAACAUUGCCAUCAAAAGCAUCUAACCUUUUCACAACCCAGCAAAACACUGUUUGGCUAUGUUACCGCUUGCUCAGC
This 974-nucleotide long non-coding RNA is filed under the name Hordeum vulgare. RNAcentral's name for it is "long non-coding RNA (HVUL_LNC003869)". Lineage: Eukaryota; Viridiplantae; Streptophyta; Magnoliopsida; Poales; Poaceae. The record is from RNAcentral.